AUGGCGGCGCCACCGCCGGAGCCGCCGAUCCUUCGAACCCACGACGAGCUCCUCGAGGAGAUCUUCCUCCUUCUCCCCACUGCUGCCGACUUAGCCCGCGCCUCCCUGGCGUGCGCUUCCUUCCGCCGUCUCAUCACCGGCCACGCCUUCCUCCGCCGCUACCGCACCCUCUACCCGCCCCCUCUCAUCGGCGUGCUCGAUGUCGACGACAAUACCUUCUUCCCAGCCCAGCCUCCGCACCCCUCCGCCGUCGCCGCCCGCACUUUUACCGGCUUCGACUUCUCCUGCUCCUCCUUCCUCCCCUCCACCGCCGGCCGUACCUGGAGGGCGAUUGAUCUCUUCGACGGACGCGUCCUCCUCGGCGGCGCCCCAGAGGAGAGGACGUGCGACUUGGAGCACCUCCAACUUUUGGUCAGGGAGCUCGCUGUGUGCGACCCCGUGUUCCACCGCUACAUCCUGCUGCCCGGUGUCCCCGGCGACCUGACGGCGCUGGUCCCUGAACCGGACCUCCUCGAUAUGGACACUUUCCUUGCUCCCGGCGAUGAUGAGGAGGACCCUUUAUCAUUCAGGGUCAUGUGCUUGGUGCGAUGCAGAAGGAAUAUGCUGCUCCUCGUCUUCUCCUCUGUGAAUGGGCAAUGGCAUGCUCUUACAUUUGACCAAUGGAGUGUUUCGGGUACAUUUGACCCAUAUAAGGAUGGGCUGUUAAAUCGUCAAUUAGUCGGCCGAUGCUUCUGUUGGCAUCCACCUUUCCUCAACAAGUUGCUUCUGCUCGAGACGCGCUCCAUGGAGUUCUCUGCUAUCAGCCUCCCACCCGAACAACCGCAGUGUCACAAUUUUGUUAUUGUUGAGGCAGCAGAAGGAAUGCUCGGGAUGCUCACUGGAAUCAAUGACGGGCACAACGAUGGUGGCCCAUAUCGGCUCGUGUAUUCCAUUCUAACAAACAACCAAUGGCACUCACAGAAUGUCAUCCCAUUGCCGGAAAAGUAUGGUGUUAUUUUGUUUGGUGUAGCCGGGGGAUACGUGCUCAUGCAGGCAUACACCACAUCUUCACCAGAGAAGCUAUGGUUCUUUUCAGUGGACGUCAUGACGUUGCAGGUCGAGUUGUUCGGCGAAGGCUCCUGUAGUGGUGAACUAUAUGCUAGCCUCCCACGAUUAUUAUGUGCACCAACUAUAUGA
Molecule: ribosomal RNA, 1176 nt
Filed under: Triticum aestivum (bread wheat)
Lineage: Eukaryota; Viridiplantae; Streptophyta; Magnoliopsida; Poales; Poaceae
Description: partial small subunit ribosomal RNA
Source: RNAcentral